GGGGGGUAAGCUUCAUUGUCGAGAGGGUAACAGCCCAGAUCAUCAUUUAAGGCCCCUAAAUAUAUACUAAGUGAUAAAGGAUGUAAAAUUACAUUGACAACCAGGAGGUUGGCUUAGAAGCAGCCAUUUACCUUUAAAAAGUGCGUAAUAGCUUACUGGUCAAGUGAUUUUGCGCCUAAAAUGAACGGGACUAAGUAUUUUGCCGAAAGUAUGAGAGAAAUCAGUAGAAGAGCGUUCUGUUUUGUUUAGAAGUAAUAACGUAAGUAGUUAUGGAUCAAUCAGAAGUGAGAAUGUCGGCUUAAGUAACGAAAACAUUGGUGGAAAUCCAAUGCCCCGAAAACCUAAGGAUUCCUUAGCCAGGUUCGUCCACUAAGGGUUAGUCAGUACCUAAGAUUAGGUUUAGAGACGUAAUCGAUGGAUAACAGGUUAAUAUUCCUGUACUAAUUUUCAUUUUUUAAGAGUGACGAAAGAAGCUAGAUCAUCCAAAGAUUGGUUGUUUUGGUUUAAUAUUUCAAGGCUGUGAGAAGUAUAAAAAAAAAUAUUUUGAGCUAAGAGUAGAAUACGAUGGGUACUACGGUACCGAAAGUGAUUAAUGCUAUAUUUCCUAGAAAAACUUUUGUAAUUUUAUUGAGAGUUAACUGUACCAUAAACUGACACAGGUGGGUUAGUAGAGAAUACUAAGGGGCGCGAGAUAACUCUCUCUAAGGAACUCGGCAAAAUGACUCCGUAACUUCGGAAGAAGGAGUGCCUCUUUAGAGGUCGCAGUGAUCAGGUCCAAGCGACUGCUUACCAAAAGCACAGGUCUCCGCUAAGUUGUAAAAUGAUGUAUGGGGGCUGACGCCUGCCCAGUGCCAGAAGGUUAAAGAAAUUGGUUAGCGUAAGCAAAGCUAGUAACUGAAGCCCUGGUGAACGGCAGCAAUAACUAUGAUUGUUCGAAGGUAGCGAAAUUCCUUGUCGGGUAAGUUCCGACCCGCACGAAAGGCGUAACGAUUUGGACGCUGUCUUGGAGAGAGACUCGGUGAAAUAGAAUUGACUGUGAAGAUGCGGUCUACUUGCACUUGGACAGAAAGACCCUAUGAAGCUUUACUGUAACUUGAGAUUGGUUUUGGACUUUUCUUGCGCAGAAUAGGUGGGAGGCUUUGAAUCUCUUUUUAGGAAGUUGAUGAGCUGUAAUGUGAGAUACCACUCUGGAGAAGUUAAGAAUCUAAUAGUAUUAUUUUAUCAAGAUACUUGACAGUUUCAGGCGGGCAGUUUUACUGGGGCGGUAGCCUCCUAAAAAGUAACGGAGGCGUACAAAGGUUUUCUCAGUCUGGACGGAAAUUAGUUUUAGAGUGUAAAGACAUAAGAAAGCUUGACUGUGAGACCUAUAAGUCGAGCAGAGACUAAAGUCGGUCUUAGUGACCCGACGGUACUGAGUGGAAGGGCCGUCGUUCAACAGAUAAAAGUUACUCUAGGGAUAACAGGCUGAUCUCCCCCAAGAGUUCACAUCGACGGGGAGGUUUGGCACCUCGAUGUCGGCUCAUCGCAACCUGGGGCGGUAGUACGUCCCAAGGGUUGGGCUGUUCGCCCAUUAAAGCGGUACGUGAGCUGGGUUCAGAACGUCGAGAGACAGUUCGGUCCAUAUCCGGUGUGAGCGUUAGAGUAUUGAAAGGAGCUCUCUUUAGUACGAGAGGACCGAGAGGGACACACCACUGAUGUACCAGUUUUUGUGCCAACAGAAAACGCUGGGUAGUCAAGUGUGGAGUGGAUAA
This 1751-nucleotide ribosomal RNA is filed under the name Euglena clara. RNAcentral describes it as "LSU rRNA". It matches the Rfam family "Bacterial large subunit ribosomal RNA", at positions 993 to 2767 of the family's 2925-position model. Lineage: Eukaryota; Euglenozoa; Euglenophyceae; Euglenales; Euglenaceae. The record is from RNAcentral.